AUUGAACGCUGGCGGAAUGCUUUACACAUGCAAGUCGAACGGCAGCACGGGGCAACCUGGUGGCGAGUGGCGAACGGGUGAGUAAUACAUCGGAACGUGCCCAAUCGUGGGGGAUAACGUAGCGAAAGUUACGCUAAUACCGCAUACGAUCUACGGAUGAAAGCGGGGGAUCGCAAGACCUCGCGCGAAUGGAGCGGCCGAUGUCAGAUUAGGUAGUUGGUGGGGUAAAGGCUCACCAAGCCAACGAUCUGUAGCUGGUCUGAGAGGACGACCAGCCACACUGGAACUGAGACACGGUCCAGACUCCUACGGGAGGCAGCAGUGGGGAAUUUUGGACAAUGGGCGCAAGCCUGAUCCAGCCAUUCCGCGUGCAGGAUGAAGGCCUCGGGUUGUAACUAGCUUUGUUACGGUAACGAACGGACGAGCUCUAAUAC
RNAcentral lists this ribosomal RNA (434 nucleotides) under uncultured bacterium. RNAcentral describes it as "bacterial SSU rRNA". It matches the Rfam family "Bacterial small subunit ribosomal RNA", at positions 30 to 465 of the family's 1533-position model. The record is from RNAcentral.